GUAUAUAGUUUAUAGGCACAAGGCCCAAUAAUACAUUCUGUUACAUUCUUUGGGGUAUAUGAAAACAUAGGCCUGGACAUUCAAGGAAAGCUGACAGCAUUCCUCCCGACCGAGUUGCCUCGGAAAGUGUUACAUCCAGGUCUACAAAAGGUGCACAGGUGGAAAGAUAAAGACGACGGGUGUGCACAUGCUCCCGAAAGGGCCAGCUACAACCACAUCAGGUUUAUUCAAUAAUGAUCCUUCCGCAGGUUCACCUACGGAAA
RNAcentral lists this unclassified non-coding RNA (263 nucleotides) under uncultured fungus. Its description in RNAcentral is "sequence contains ITS1". The record is from RNAcentral. Lineage: Eukaryota; Fungi.